This 424-nucleotide ribosomal RNA is filed under the name uncultured Terrisporobacter sp. RNAcentral's name for it is "bacterial SSU rRNA". It matches the Rfam family "Bacterial small subunit ribosomal RNA", at positions 338 to 759 of the family's 1533-position model. Lineage: Bacteria; Bacillati; Bacillota; Clostridia; Peptostreptococcales; Peptostreptococcaceae. The record is from RNAcentral.
CCUACGGGCGGCAGCAGUGAGGAAUAUUGGUCAAUGGGCGCGAGCCUGAACCAGCCAAGUUGCGUGAGGGAUGAAGGUUCUAUGGAUCGUAAACCUCUUUUAUAAGGGAAUAAAGUGCGGGACGUGUCCCGUUUUGUAUGUACCUUAUGAAUAAGGAUCGGCUAACUCCGUGCCAGCAGCCGCGGUAAUACGGAGGAUCCGAGCGUUAUCCGGAUUUAUUGGGUUUAAAGGGAGCGUAGAUGGAUGUUUAAGUCAGUUGUGAAAGUUUGCGGCUCAACCGUAAAAUUGCAGUUGAUACUGGAUAUCUUGAGUGCAGUUGAGGCAGGCGGAAUUCGUGGUGUAGCGGUGAAAUGCUUAGAUAUCACGAAGAACUCCGAUUGCGAAGGCAGCCUGCUAAGCUGCAACUGACAUUGAGGCUCGAAAG